Molecule: transfer RNA, 531 nt
Filed under: Vibrio splendidus
Lineage: Bacteria; Pseudomonadati; Pseudomonadota; Gammaproteobacteria; Vibrionales; Vibrionaceae
Description: 16S-23S ribosomal RNA intergenic spacer
Rfam family: tRNA (bases 79-151)
Source: RNAcentral
UACGAAGAUAGUCACGAUGAGUGUCCACACAGAUUGAUUAGGUUUAGAAAGUUUAAGAGUAGAAAUACUUUUCCAGAUGGGGCUAUAGCUCAGCUGGGAGAGCGCCUCGCUGGCAGCGAGGAGGUCUGCGGUUCGAUCCCGCAUAGCUCCACCAUCUUUAAGUGUUUUUCUUUGAAAAUAUUUAAAAAUGGUUCCCUUCUUUUAAUAGAAGUUGAAUCAAGCUCUUUAACAAUUUGGAAAGCUGACUGAUUUGACUACUUACGAGUAAUUCAAAUCAAAUUUAAAAGUUCUCAAUGUUUAUCUUUCAUUAGAUAAACACAACAAACACAUUCAAGUGUCUUGUAUUCGAAUGAUCAGAAAUGAUUGUUCAUUUUUUGAUUCUACUUUUUAUUAAAAAGUGGAAACAAAAAGUAAAUUGAGUCCGGCAAACAGUUAUCAAGAAUUAACCCUUCUUGAUGACAACCAAAAACCUUGGUUGCUUUUUGUCUUCACUUUUUAAAAGUGAAAGCAAAUUUGUAUCAUACGCUAAGA